AUUGAACGCUGGCGGCAGGCUUAACACAUGCAAGUCGAGCGGAGAUGAGGUGCUUGCACCUCAUCUUAGCGGCGGACGGGUGAGUAAUGCUUAGGAAUCUGCCUAUUAGUGGGGGACAACAUUCCGAAAGGAAUGCUAAUACCGCAUACGUCCUACGGGAGAAAGCAGGGGAUCUUCGGACCUUGCGCUAAUAGAUGAGCCUAAGUCGGAUUAGCUAGUUGGUGGGGUAAAGGCCUACCAAGGCGACGAUCUGUAGCGGGUCUGAGAGGAUGAUCCGCCACACUGGGACUGAGACGCGGCGCAGACUCCUACGGUAGGCAGCAGUGGGGAAUAUUGGACAAUGGGGGGAACCCUGAUCCAGCCAUGCCGCGUGUGUGAAGAAGGCCUUAUGGUUGUAAAGCACUUUAAGCGAGGAGGAGGCUACUGAGACUAAUACUCUUGGAUAGUGGACGUUACUCGCAGAAUAAGCACCGGCUAACUCUGUGCCAGCCGCCGCCGUAA
Molecule: ribosomal RNA, 501 nt
Filed under: uncultured bacterium
Lineage: Bacteria
Description: partial 16S ribosomal RNA
Rfam family: Bacterial small subunit ribosomal RNA
Source: RNAcentral